UACGUAGGGUGCAAGCGUUGUCCGGAAUUAUUGGGCGUAAAGAGCUCGUAGGCGGCUUGUCACGUCGACUGUGAAAACCCGGGGCUCAACUCCGGGCCUGCAGUGGGUACGGGCAGACUAGAGUGCGGUAGGGGAGACUGGAAUUCCUGGUGUAGCGGUGAAAUGCGCAGAUAUCAGGAGGAACACCUAUUGCGAAGGCAGCUCGCUGGGACGUAACUGACGCUGAGACGCGAAAGCGUGGGGAGCAAACAGG
RNAcentral lists this ribosomal RNA (253 nucleotides) under uncultured bacterium. Its description in RNAcentral is "partial 16S ribosomal RNA". It matches the Rfam family "Bacterial small subunit ribosomal RNA", at positions 524 to 776 of the family's 1533-position model. The record is from RNAcentral.